This 137-nucleotide ribosomal RNA is filed under the name uncultured eukaryote. RNAcentral describes it as "partial 18S ribosomal RNA". It matches the Rfam family "Eukaryotic small subunit ribosomal RNA", at positions 1299 to 1458 of the family's 1831-position model. The record is from RNAcentral.
UGGUGGAGUGAUUUGUCUGGUUAAUUCCGAUAACGAACGAGACCUUAACCUGCUAACUAGUUUACUGAACGCAAGUUCUGCGAAACUUCUUAGAGGGACUAUCUGUGACUAACAGAUGGAAGUUUGAGGCAAUAACA